Molecule: transfer RNA, 63 nt
Filed under: Merluccius polli (Benguela hake)
Lineage: Eukaryota; Metazoa; Chordata; Actinopteri; Gadiformes; Merlucciidae
Description: tRNA-Gly
Source: RNAcentral
UGGUCUAGUGCUUAUGGUGUUUGGCUCCCGGCCAAAAGGUUCUGGGUUCGAACCCCAACACCU